AUUGAACGCUGGCGGAAUGCUUUACACAUGCAAGUCGAACGGCAGCACGGGGGCAGCCCUGGUGGCGAGUGGCGAACGGGUGAGUAAUACAUCGGAACGUGCCCGGUCGUGGGGGAUAACGUAGCGAAAGUUACGCUAAUACCGCAUACGAUCUGAGGAUGAAAGCGGGGGACCUUCGGGCCUCGCGCGAUCGGAGCGGCCGAUGUCAGAUUAGGUAGUUGGUUGGGUAAAGGCCUACCAAGCCGACGAUCUGUAGCUGAUCUGAGAGGACGACCAGCCACACUGGGGCUGAGACACGGCCCAGACUCCUACGUGAGGCAGCAGUGGGGAAUUUUGGACAAUGGGCGCAAGCCUGAUCCAGCCAUUCCGCGUGAAGGACGAAGGCCUUCGGGUUGUAAACUGCUGUUGUACGGAACGAAAAGGCUCUGGCUAAUACCUGGGGCUCAUGACGGUACCGUAAGAAUAAGCAACGGCUAACUACGUG
RNAcentral lists this ribosomal RNA (484 nucleotides) under uncultured bacterium. RNAcentral describes it as "partial 16S ribosomal RNA". It matches the Rfam family "Bacterial small subunit ribosomal RNA", at positions 30 to 507 of the family's 1533-position model. The record is from RNAcentral.